GAUGAAUGGACCGAUCCAGCACUCUCUGCUCGUCGCCUCAUGACACCUUUCUUCUCGAGUCUAGUUCAUUUUCCGAAUACUUUGUAUAUAGGCAGAACUUCCACCUCAUCAAAAAUGAUUCCAAACGGAUCGAAUGAUACUGAUGAUUAUUUUUACAGUGGAGCUAAGUGGGUCGAUCGGGUCAAUGGAGGCAGAGUCUGUGGCACGAGGAAUGUCUUUGGCAUGUCUAGGCUCAUCUCCACUUUCAACCACUUUGCAGUCUUCAUCUUGCCGUAACCUGCUUCUCCGUUUUAAACUCAGCUGUCUCCCGCUACUGCCCGUCUAUCACUCCUUUGACCACGGUGACAUGCGAUGAGGGUUGGCGGCAGAUCUACAACAGUUGGAGGAGAAAAAAAAAAAAAGAUGCAACGCCUGAUCAGCAAUCGAAAUCUCCACAAUGAUGAUAUUGUGACUUAUAUGUUGCAAAAUUGAGUGACUCCACCAAGAUAACUCAUUACCUCGUAGGAGUGGAAGUGUCCGGUUGGUUGGGGUGAGAUCAUUCUGAGACAUUGCCUCCAUCAUCCAGGAGCUGCAAACGGCGAUUGAGGUCACGGUUCUCCGCCGUGUGCUUCAGCACACUGUCCACCCUACACACACAGACACAUGAAUGCACGUACACACAUAUACGUGCACACACACACACUUUUAAUGGAAAUACUUACUUAUCAGAUGUACGUUUAAGCCGCUCUGUGUCACUCUCUCUUUGUUGUUUAUUCUGAAGAGAGAGGAGGUCUUCUUUCUGGAUGGCCUCCCACAUACUAAGUCGGCUGGACUUGAUGUCUUCCAGCGUCAAAGCUGAUAUAAUAUAAUGUCAUAUGUGUUAGACAAUACGGUAAAAUUUGGGGGUGAGGUUAUUUUUUUUUCUGAAAAUGUAAUCAGUGUGUUUGGUGCUGUUCUCACCAAAAUGUUUUUUCUUUUCUGAGGGUAUGCGGCGGAUGUAUCGCUUGAUGAAAACAUUCAGAUGUGAAAUGAUGAUAAACGGCGGGGCCAGGCAAGGCCUGGCGUGGUACUCCACAAUUAGGCUGUAACGCUGAAAUUUCCAGUAGAUAUCACUGCGCUCCUGAACUAGGUUAAAAGUGUAACUGGGAGGGGAGAAAAAGAAAAGCAAACAAUGUCGUUUGAAGCGAGUAAACACAUUCAUUAGUCCUCUUUUUACCGAUGCAUUCAUUCUGAGUGUACCUGAAAAUGGCAAUGAGGAGAUUAAUCAAGAGGAUGUUGGUCACCAGCAGAUAGACAGUCUGGAGAAGUAUCACCAGCCAGUUGGCGUAUGUGUUCAUGCAUGGUUCCGCUCCUGCUUGAAUUAGUGUUCUGUUGUUGGUACAGUUGGGUUGUUGAAAUAGUUCAGCUGCAUGAGAAAUAGACAAAGUACGAUGUGAGCAUUUGUCCUGAAUAAAGACGAUCGGAUCCAUUUUUAA
This is a long non-coding RNA of Syngnathus typhle (broad-nosed pipefish), 1454 nucleotides long. RefSeq lists it as uncharacterized. The record is from RefSeq and is a predicted model, not a curated record. Lineage: Eukaryota; Metazoa; Chordata; Actinopteri; Syngnathiformes; Syngnathidae. The transcript has 3 exons.